RNAcentral lists this ribosomal RNA (301 nucleotides) under uncultured bacterium. RNAcentral's name for it is "partial 16S ribosomal RNA". It matches the Rfam family "Bacterial small subunit ribosomal RNA", at positions 509 to 809 of the family's 1533-position model. The record is from RNAcentral.
CAGUAGCCGCGGGAAUAUGUAGGUGGCAAGCGUUGUCCGGAAUUAUUGGGCGUAAAGGGCUCGCAGGCGGUUUCUUAAGUCUGAUGUGAAAGCCCCCGGCUCAACCGGGGAUGGUCAUUGGAAACUGGGAAACUUGAGUGCAGAAGAGGAGAGUGGAAUUCCACGUGUAGCGGUGAAAUGCGUAGAGAUGUGGAGGAACACCAGUGGCGAAGGCGACUCUCUGGUCUGUAACUGACGCUGAGGAGCGAAAGCGUGGGGAGCUAACAGGAUUAGAGACCCGUGUAGUCCCUGUCUCUUAUAU